AUACGGAGGAUCCAAGCGUUAUCCGGAUUUAUUGGGUUUAAAGGGUGCGUAGGCGGAAUAGUAAGUCAGUGGUGAAAUCCUGCAGCUUAACUGCAGAACUGCCAUUGAUACUGCCAUUCUUGAGUAUAGUUGAGGUGGGCGGAAUGUGUCAUGUAGCGGUGAAAUGCAUAGAUAUGACACAGAACGCCGAUAGUGAAGACAGUUCACCAAACUACUACUGACGCUAAGGCACGAAAGCGUGGGGAGCAAACAGGAUUAGAAACCCCGGUAGUCC
Molecule: ribosomal RNA, 274 nt
Filed under: uncultured bacterium
Lineage: Bacteria
Description: partial 16S ribosomal RNA
Rfam family: Bacterial small subunit ribosomal RNA
Source: RNAcentral